Molecule: unclassified non-coding RNA, 282 nt
Filed under: plant metagenome
Description: partial contains small subunit ribosomal RNA, internal transcribed spacer 1, and 5.8S ribosomal RNA
Rfam family: 5.8S ribosomal RNA (bases 235-282)
Source: RNAcentral
UUUCCGUAGGUGAACCUGCGGAAGGAUCAUUAUUGUAUAACCGAGGUGCGAGGGCUGUCGCUGACCCGAAAGGUCGUGCACGCCCGAGUGCCCUCACACACAUCCAUCUCACCCCUAUGUGCACCACCGCGUGGGUCCCCCUUUGGCUUGUUCGGAGGGGGGCUUACGUUUUCACACAAACUUUGUAUGCAGUGUAGAUUGUAUUUUUUGUUUUUGCGAUCACGCAAUCAAUACAACUUUCAACAACGGAUCUCUUGGCUCUCGCACGAUGAAGGACGCAGC